Molecule: long non-coding RNA, 8147 nt
Organism: Apis mellifera (honey bee)
Lineage: Eukaryota; Metazoa; Arthropoda; Insecta; Hymenoptera; Apidae
Exons: 4
Source: RefSeq, a predicted model, not a curated record
AUAAAAUUUGCUCGCAGCGAAAUUUCCUCCAUUUUAAUUUUUCCGAAGAAUUGAACACAAAGAGUCGAAUAUAUGUAAUAAUACAUGAAUGCAUUUUCAGAAUUUAUCGCCAAGCUACGAAGAAAUAUACGAUUCUUGGAAAAUUAAAUUAUCUGCUUUAACGAAAUCCUUCAGAAACAUUAUCCAUCUUAAUCAACACUAAUUAAUAAGAAUAUCCCACUUAUCCAUAAAUAUCUAAAUACAACAAGCGAGACAACGAGUGAAAAACGAUGAUCCCCUCGACGAUUUACGACGAAUUUCCAGAAUUUUAGGAUCGCGCAGAAACGGUACAAUUCCCCCUCCCCCGGGUGUUUCGAAAAUUAAAUUACACGAUGGUACGCUCGAUGCAAUAAAGUGGAAUCUUCCCUCGCAGGGCAGCGAGUACGUCUUUGCUCGUUUACAUGUGCUUUCUCGCAGCCGUGGUCCGUCCACAUGGGGCUGCACUGAUAUACGGCCAGAAAAUGCGGCUCUGAAUGUUAUUUACGGCUUCGUAGGCGCGUUAAGGCGUCCGUGUACACCCCCACGCUCGCGUUUAAUAAGUUAAUUUAGAGGCUCGCGUCUCUACGACUUAAUUGCACGCACGUAUGAGCUACGCCCUCUGCCCGCCUGUAAUCUCCAUAAGAAAAGAAGCCCUUGGUGUAUCCAGAGCUAUUCUCUUCUCUUCUCGACCAUUUCUUCUUUGUCAGUUCGUUGGCAGAGAUUCAAUAGGAAAAUGAGAUUAAAAUUUCGAUCGAGUACAAAUUGAAACAUUGAAUUUCACGUGUGUUUCUUUUUUAAAGUGGAAGAUCGAAUUUGUAAUAUAAUGUUUGAUAUGGUGGUAUAUUCCAAGAUGUAAUUUUCAAUUCGAGGAAAUAAGAGGAUACUUAUUAUUUCAAAACGAUGAAAGGAAGAUGAUAUAAUUAAAUGUAAAAUUUAGUAUGAAAAAUGUAGAGAUUCAGUUUUGUCAAAUUUCCUGCGAGUAAAACAAAUAUGAAUUGAAAAUUUGUGGUAUAGAAAUACGGAGCAUACGUUACAUAAUGCGUAUUAAAUGUUAAAUUACCGAUUCUUUUACAUCGCAUAUGUAACCGAUCCCGAUAUAAAUUCGAUAUAAUAUAACUCGUAAAAUAUUCACAAUUAAUUUGUCACGACGAUUAGAGGUACAAUGUACCGGAUAUUUAAUACGGCUCGAAAUGACGAAGAUAAUCGAAUCUGUUUGCAUAAAUUACCGACGAGCUUAAUAAUCGAGUUCGAUGCACCGGUAUAAUUAACAUAUUCCAGUCCAGUUCCAAAUUAAAGAAAGAAAAAAAAAGAAGGAAUUUCGUUUCUUCAUUUUUACACGAACGAUAUUUACAGUGAUAUAUCGAUAUUCGAUAUCAACUGUCAAACGUGGAACGAUCACAAUUUCACGUGACUUGAACGAAGAGAGAACUGGAGCAAUCCCUUCUUCCAUGAAGAAAUUGCUGCAACGAAGAAAUAUUAGGUUGUCCCAAAAAUUCUUUUUAUUUUUACCUUUUUCAUUGUUUUACACACUUGUUCUUUCAGGAUUACUCACACGAUAAUUUAAACAAAAGACGUCCAAAGCAUCAGAGUUUCAUCCAUGCUAUUCUUUUUGAAGAAACCAAUAUUUUUUUUACAAAAUAAAAAUAGUUUAUAAUCCAAUCAACUUAAAAUUCGUUCUAUAUUAUCAUUAAUUGAUAAAUUAAACAAUCUAACUUGAUCUAAUUUAUUUAAUAUAGAUUGAAUAUUUUAGCUGUAAAAAUAAAUUGUGCGUUAUGUUCUCGAAUCAGAAUCGUCGAACAGCACGUGCAAGAAGUGAACGAAACAUUUUUUGGGACAAGGAAAAUAUUGCAAUAAACAAGCGGCAAAGCUGUCUAACGCGCAUUCUUCGGAUUCCCGAAAUUGCAAUUCCAUGAUAGAAUUUCGGGCGUUUUCGUCGACCAGUUGGUAAACUGGGUUCGGAAAUACGCGAACCGAGGUUUGGGGUUGUAUUGAUCGGUGCUGGCUGCGCGGGCUAGUGACUGAAACAGUGGGCACCUCUAGUCACCGAACUUGUUACUUUGUAAACGAAAUUUCGACAGUACGCAUAAUCGACCAUUUUCAUAACGUAUCAAUGUCUUUUCCGGGUUUUUUUAUUUCUUUUUUCUUUUUUUUUUUUUUCAAUGAACGAAAACGAUCAUACAAUUACGAUGAAUUUGUGGCAUAGAAAAUUUGGAUAUUUGUAAUUUAAAUCAUUCAUAGAUCGUUUUCGAAGGAAAAUUCAAAGAUUUUUAUUUUUUUAAAACAUUUGACGAGGAGAAUCUUUGAUAUUGAUAUUCUUUUAUUGAAUUUUUCUAGGUUUUAUUGAGAAACUGUAAAAAGAAUAACAGUAAUAUAAACCACGAAUGGAUUGAGAUCUCUCUUGAGAGAGUUAAUUAAUUAAUUAAUUAACCAAUCAUCUCGAGGAUGGUUCAUAUAUUCGUCUCAUAAAUUGAAAUUAAAAAAGAGAAUUAAAUUGGAAAACUUGGUAUAUCUGUCUAAAUAAAUAUUGCACACAAAUUGCAACUUAAUAAAAAGACACAGAUAGAUACAAUAUUGUAUCUUUUACAUGAAUCAAAAAAAAAAAAAAAAAAAGACAUAGAAUUCAAAGGCAAAAUUGACAAAUCCAUCUUUCUAAUUUUUCACCACGAUUUCAACUACGAUUUAAAAAAAAGACAAUUUUUCCACGAUAUAACAACGUUACUUUACACUAUCCUUUGCACAAAGGAUUAUCUCGGCGUAUUGAAUUUUAAAAUCGCUAUCCUUAUCAAUCCUUCCCAAUUCUCUUCUCUUCCAACAAACACUUCAAACUCGCAAAAUCACGCAAACAGCUUCAAAGCUCCCCCGCAAAAAAAGGAAGGAACUCUUAACGUGCCAUUACCAGGACUCAAAAAAACAAUAUAGAUAAGAUAAAAUUUUCCAAACUGUUGCCAAAGAUGAAAUGCAAGCGAUUCGAAACGAAAUCGACAAAUCGUAGCAGACCGUGCCAGAGAUAUCACUGCGAAGAUGAUACCGUGCGAUUAAGUAAUCUGUAACAGUUUACUCUGCUCGUGUCACGUCCACCUGUAAUCGAAUUAAAAUCGAAACGAGGAACAUUAAGAGGAAAAAAGAGGAGAGAGAGAAAGGGGGAAGAAACCGCGAACGGAGAAAUACAGUGUCGGUGAAAGAUUACACGUUCCAUGAUAGUCUGGCGAGGGUGGAAAUGGGGAAGGCGGGUGGCGCGAUAACCCGUGAUUACCAGAAACGCGAGGGUAGAAAAGAAUCGGAUCGAUGCUCGUCGUCGUCGUCGUCGUCGUCGUCGUCGUCGUCGGUUGAGCCAAUUAAUCUGUGAAGUUCGCGCAAGAUUGCUCCAUUCAGGUUUACAUCUGGAUGGAGAGAAAAGAAGAGGAUGCUUUCCUCCCUCGUUUUCCUCCUCCAAGUUUUCGCGUAUAUCAUAGUUAUAUUAUAGGGAAAAGUAUUUCAAGAGGGGGAGAAUUUUAUAUGGAUUCGAUUAAAAUUCGUAGUGAAUGAGAUCGCUGGAUAUCGCGCACGUGAGAGUUGAAUUUAUAAUAAAACGAGUUUAUAAUGGAUCAUCCUUUGAAUGAAAAAUCAUAAAGCCGAGAAGGAAUCGAAUCAUCCCAUCCGUCGACACCAAGGAUCUUUAAUCCAGCUUUUAUCGCGGCCAUCGUGGAUACGUGAUCACGGACAAGAGAUUUACCUCGAAGCGCUUCACCGUACGUGGGAAUCCGUGACGAUGAUGGUGGUGCUGGCCAACCCCUAUUCCGUGGAAUCGGUAAGCUUUGGAACAUCGGCGCAGUUACUUUUACCUUUACGCCACGGUCAACGUACGGUUAAGAUGGUUUUAAACGAGUCGCGUUACAACACGAGCCGGUUCAGUGUUCGAAAGCUGAAAGAGGAGGCAAUGAAAGCGGAAGCGAUGUCACCGAGGAAGAGGAGACGCGCGCGCGACGUCGUCGAAAUAAUGGCUCCUUUGAAACACGAUUGCCUUUUCCCUUUAACGACGCCUACGUGUCAAUGGGUCGGUCAUGCUGCACCUGAGACCGAUUACGACUUCUCUUUCGCGUGUGUGCACGCGUGUGUGUGUGUUUGUGCGCGAGUGUACCAUCAUAGAGGACGUAAUGCAACACCGGGGGCGCACGAAUGCGUUUACAACGAUAGGUAUGCGAUAUCGGUAUCGAUUUGCUCGAAAUCAAAGACUCGAGAAACGAGGAUUUGGUGGGGUUGGGAGAAAUACAUGAGUCGGUUUAGAAAGUUGGAAAUGGAUUAGAGAGCAUUAGGCCAUUAUUUUAUUUCUUUUACUUUUUUUUUUUUUUUACGAAUGGAAAAUGAGUGGAUGAUUAUUGAUGAUUCUUCUUGAAAGAAUAAUCAAUCUAUUUGUAAUCUUUUGGAUCAAUUUUUUGGAGAAAUUUUAUAGGGAUGGAAUUGGCGAACGUUUAGGGUAUAAAAUUUUAUAGGUAAUAGAUAAUGAUAGGUCGUUUUGUAAGGAACUUUUCAACCUGACUCGAUAUCAAAAUUUUAUUUUUGUAUCGGAACCCAUAUAUUGACAGCAGCUUGGAAACUUUAACAUCGUAUGGAAUGGUUCAAUAUAAGGAUGGUAGUUAGCCUAAAUCGAAUGCUAGAAUCGUGUGGGUCUGUGUCUUUGGACUCGGUAUACUAGCAAGAUUCUAUAGACUCGGAGUGAUUCAAUAUAAAUUCCAUCACAAGUGAGCCAAGGCAGUCUUGAUCACGAAUCUUGGCAAUAAUAGUUCGGAAUCGUAGUUGCACAAAUCACAAGUCUCGAUGUUAAAAAUUCCACACAGUUAUAAAAUUAACACAAGUUAUAAGUCUUUAUAUAAACUUCAAAUAUUCACUGCAUACAAGACUAAAUUUUCACGAAUGUAAUUUAAACAAAAGAUUCGCCUCGUUCCUCGAAUAUUGUACUCGUUUCUCGAAAAACUGUUGAAAAGAAAUUUACAUUUGCCAGAAGCGUGGAGACAUCCUUCAUGGACGAGAUGGAAUAAAGUAUUGAUAGAGAACGUUCCAAGAAUUGCAGACGGCAAAAAAGGAAAAAGAAAUCGUAUAUACUGUGUGCAAAUUGAACGUGGCUACUCUGGGGGAAAAUAAAUCCUUUCGAUGUCCAAAGUGAGGAAGACACGCGUACGUAGUAAUAAAAAUCAUCUUAUCUAAAAUCGGCAGGAUGGAAGGCAGCGAGGCAUCGUGUAUAAUAAUGAAGAAAUAAAUUGGCAAAAGUGCGUGCAACAGCGGCCAGUUACGAAGGGAGGAAGGGUCGAUGGAAAAAAAGAAGAGGAAGAAGAAGAAGAAGAAGAAAAAAGGAGAAGCACGCGGGCCACGAAAAAGGGUAGGCGGAACAUCCGAGGCUGGGAAAAUGCGCGCGUGCGUUUUUUCCACGCGCCUGGGUGUAUAUAGAGAGACGGGGAAUCUCAUUUGGGCUUUUUUACCGGCGAUCGGUUAAACAGCGCGUUCGAGACCGUUCAAUCGAACAGGAUCGGGCAGAAGGGAAGUUUCAACGGCUGUGGCCACCACGCGAAAAAUACUUUCUCCCGCGAGCGUUCUCUCUUUUCUGUACCCAGCCUCGAAACCUACCGAUUGCUUUCAUCGGCCGAUUUCAUCGUUAAAGGGGGGGGAAAGCGAAUGUAUCGAAGCCAAGGGGAUGAGGAUCGGUCAGCGAGCGAUAAUUUUCCUCGGCAGCGUAUCUAAAUUGAAAUCGUUGUCGAGAUUAUUACUCGUCGAGAAUUCGAUCCCCUUUCUCGCCGAUCGGCCGUCACUAAUUACGUUUUUAUUACGGGUUUGUUAUUUCAUUGAUAAUAACGAUGACGAUGACGACGAUGAAGAGAUGUACACGAAAGGAAAAAUUAGUAGGAAAGGAAGGAAUAAAAGCUUCUCUCGAUAGAGAUGGAAUCGUAAAUGCUUUCAUCGAUGAAAAGUGGUUUCGAGAACGCUUUUUAACACAUUGAGAUCGAGUUAUAUCGAGAAUGUAAUCUUGAAAAAAAUUGUUCCACGCCAUCCACAGUUUUUUCACGCGCAAAUUUUAAUCUCUUCGAUUCGAUUCCUCGAAUCAUCUCGCUUUCUUCCACCCCUUCGAGAAUCUCUUCGAUAUAUCGAGAUGAAAUAAUUUAAAGAUCGAGUAAAAAUUUUCCUGGCAAUCUUUUACAUUUCGAAACUUUAUUUCUCGUUCUCCCUCGUUCUCCCUCUUAUCCACCCAACAAUAUUUUUUCGCGGUAAAUAUUGCGCGCAUAUAUUUUCUCGGGGAAAACCCGGGUUUGUUAGCACAGCUACCGGGGAUACCUGAGAUAACGUGCCUAUAUCUCGGGAAGCAUACAUAAAGAAUUACUUGAUUCUCACGGAGAGCGACUUUUUCCCUGCUCCUCUUUUUAUUUCCCUAUCUGACACGCGUUUCACGGAGGCAGGCCAGGAAUCGCUAUUUUUAAAACGACGGGCAAACAGGGUUAGCGGCGUGGUGAAUAAGAAAAACUUUAAAAAAAAAAAAAAAUCUUGUAUCUUUUAGCAUCCGACAAGCCCAAAAAUUAUUCGAAUUACGUUGAAGGAGAAAGGAAGAAGGGAGGAAAAUUACGUAAACGUCAUCGAAUAGAAUGAUGAAACAUUUGACAUUCAUCAAGAAGAUAUUGUGAAGUUUAUUCAUAGAGAAUUUUUUUUUUAUUAUUAAAAAGUGUUCAAACAAAAGUGUAUUGCGUGUAAAGUUUUAUUAAUUAUAUAGUUUCAAGAAGUCAGAGUUUUAUAUUAAAAAGUAGAAGUUAAAAUUUGUUAUAACGCUUCGAUCACUCUUCUUUUCUCUCUCUCUUUUUUUCUGUAUAAAAUUUACACAUUACAAUUUGUAAUUGUCGAGAGAAUAAUUUAGCAAAACGACGUGUAACAAAUAAAAAUCAUUCGAAUCGUUAAUCGAGCGAAAGAAAAUUAUUGUAAUUUGAAAAUCGUGAAACGAUUAAAAUGUAUUAUAAUUAAAAUAUAAGUAUCGGGCGCGAAACUUAAUCGAACUAACUUUUCAAAUCGAUCAUUGGCAAACUUAUCAAUCACGAGAGAAAUUUAAUCGAAACGGUUCAUAAUUACAAACUUCGAAUCAAAUCAAAGAGAAAAUUUUCGCAUUAACCUAUAUAUAUAUAUUAUAUAUAUAAAACUGCAUCGAUCGAAAAGUGUAUUUCGAUAUUAAUGUAAAACUUAAUAACUCGUGAAGCUAAAGAAUUCGAAUUUAAUACAAAGUUGUGUCUGAAGCGGGGAUCAAUAGAUCUUUCAACAGCGUUUCCAAUUCAUCUUGACAAGGAGAACGAGGAACGAUAUUUCCUCGCUCUUUCGUAUCGCGUAAAGGAAGCAUCUUCACUCGAUCGGGAAAUACUAAGUAACAGUAAUGCUACGAAACGUAAAGGAAGCCCUUUUGUAUGCAAAUACACGCGACUACAACUGGUAACAAGAGGUUGGGGGAGGAGGGAUGCGUAAUGCGACCCGUUGCAUUUCUCUCGUAUCCUCCUCCUCCUCCUCCUCCUCCUCCUCCUCCUCCUCCUCCUCCUUCGCUUCUUGUUCACUUUCCACCACCACCCUCUCGAUCUCGUCAUCCAACGAUCUCGAUUCAAUUCGCCUCGCGAUAAAAUCGUUCGUUUUUCUAAACGUCCGUUUUCGUGAGGGCAAACCCGGGGGCUUGGUUCUCGAGAUCUCUGUGGAAAAAGGGGCUCGGCUAUAAGGGGACGUCAAGCAUCCUUGAAAAUCCUUCGAGAGGUCUAUUUUGUCGAAUUUAAUAAUCCCAGUUUUUUUUUUCUUCUUCUUCCUUUUCUCUUUCUCUCUUCGGAUGAAGAAGAGACGAAAGAAAAUUACGGGGGUGGAAAAAUAAGCGUGUUGUUAAUUGCGAGAUGUAAAUUAGAAUUGGCAUUGUCUAUAAUCGAUUGAAUGUGAACGAGAGGAAUUGAAUUAGAUACGUCGCGAAGCUAAAAAUGGGAUAAAAUUAAAAAAAUAUAUUUAAAAAUUGAAAUUGACGCUUUAAUUAUUAUACCUCGGUUCAACGAUCCAACUUUUUUUUCGAUAUAAUUUUUUCCCUGAAUUGAAUUUCGUCGGAAUUAGGAGUCUCUCGAUUUCGUUUAUUUUUAUACGAAUGAAUUUUUCAUUUCAAU